CCCUGGCUGGCUCAGUUGGUAGAGCAUGUGACUCUUGAUCUUGGGGUUGUGAGUUCAAGUCCCGUGUUGGGGG
RNAcentral lists this transfer RNA (73 nucleotides) under Felis catus (domestic cat). It matches the Rfam family "tRNA". Rfam says of the family: Transfer RNA (tRNA) molecules are approximately 80 nucleotides in length. Their secondary structure includes four short double-helical elements and three loops (D, anti-codon, and T loops). Lineage: Eukaryota; Metazoa; Chordata; Mammalia; Carnivora; Felidae. The record is from Rfam by way of RNAcentral.